Molecule: long non-coding RNA, 799 nt
Filed under: Gallus gallus (chicken)
Lineage: Eukaryota; Metazoa; Chordata; Aves; Galliformes; Phasianidae
Description: lncRNA (ENSGALG00010006758.1)
Source: RNAcentral
GUUAUUUUCGUUUUUUUCCGUUAUUAUUUCCGUUCUUUCUGUUAUUUCCGUUAUUUCAGUUAUUUCCGUUGUUGUUCUCGACCUGUCACUUAAAUUUCUGCCGUAUGUUUCUGUCUUUGUGGAGGUUAUUUCCUUUAUUUCCGUUAUUUCCGUUAUUUCCUUUAUUUCCGUUAUUUCUGUUAUUUCAGUUAUUUCCGUUUUUGUUCUUGACUUGUUACUUAAUUUUCUGCCAUAUGUUUCUGUCUCUGCGGAGUUUAUUUCCGUUCUUUCCGUUCUUCCAGUUCUUUCUGUUCUUUCAGUUCUUUCCGUGGUUGUUCUUGACCUGUCACCUAAUUUUCUGCCCUAAGUUUCUGUCUCUGUCGAGGUUAUUUCCGUUAUUUCCGUUAUUUAAGUUAUUUCCGUUGUUGUUCUUGAUCUGUCACCAAAUUGUCUGACGUAUGUUUCUGUAUCUCUAAAGGUUAUUUUCGUUUUUACCGUUAUUAUUUCCGUUCUUUCUGUUAUUUCCGUUGUUUCCGUUAUUUCCGUUGUUGUUCUUGACCUGUCACCUAAUUUUCUGCCAUAUGUUUCUCGCUCUGUGGAGGUUAUUUCCGUUCUUUCCGUUCUUUCCGUAGUUGUUCUUGACCUGUCACCUAAUUUUCUUCCGUAUGUUUUUGUCCCUCUGGAGGUUCUUUCCGUUUUUUCCGUUAUUUCUAUUAUUUCCUUUAUUUUUGUUCUUGACCUGUCACCUAAUUUUUUGCCGUAUGUUUCUGUCUCUGUCAAGGUUCUUUCCGUUCUUUCAGUUGUUAUUCUUGACCUGUCA